Molecule: ribosomal RNA, 253 nt
Filed under: uncultured bacterium
Lineage: Bacteria
Description: partial 16S ribosomal RNA
Rfam family: Bacterial small subunit ribosomal RNA
Source: RNAcentral
UACAGAGGUCCCAAGCGUUGUUCGGAUUUACUGGGCGUAAAGGGUGCGUAGGUGGCUAUGCAAGUUUGUUGUGAAAUCUCCAAGCCUAACUUGGAAACUGCAUCAAAAACUGCAUAACUAGAGGGUUGAAGAGGAGAUUGGAAUUCUCGGUGUAGCAGUGAAAUGCGUAGAUAUCGAGAGGAACACCGGUGGCGAAAGCGAGUCUCUGGGCAAAUCCUGACACUGAGGCACGAAAGCUAGGGGAGCAAACAGG